GCUCCGGAUUAACUUAGCGGCGGACGGGUGAGUAACACGUAGGCAACCUACCUCUUUGACUGGGAUAACUACCGGAAACGGUAGCUAAUACCGGAUAAUUCCUUUGUUCACCUGGACGAAGGAUGAAAGGCGGAGCAAUCUGCUACAAGGAGAUGGGCCUGCGGCGCAUUAGCUAGUUGGUGGGGUAACGGCUCACCAAGGCGACGAUGCGUAGCCGACCUGAGAGGGUGAACGGCCACACUGGGACUGAGACACGGCCCAGACUCCUACGGGAGGCAGCAGUAGGGAAUCUUCCGCAAUGGGCGAAAGCCUGACGGAGCAACGCCGCGUGAGUGAUGAAGGUUUUCGGAUCGUAAAGCUCUGUUGCCAGGGAAGAACGUCCGGUAGAGUAACUGCUACCGGAGUGACGGUACCUGAGAAGAAAGCCCCGGCUAACUACGUGCCAGCAGCCGCGGUAAUACGUAGGGGGCAAGCGUUGUCCGGAAUUAUUGGGCGUAAAGCGCGCGCAGGCGGCUAUUUAAGUCUGGUGUUUAAACCUUGGGCUCAACCUGAGGUCGCACUGGAAACUGGGUGGCUUGAGUACAGAAGAGGAAAGUGGAAUUCCACGUGUAGCGGUGAAAUGCGUAGAUAUGUGGAGGAACACCAGUGGCGAAGGCGACUUUCUGGGCUGU
RNAcentral lists this ribosomal RNA (671 nucleotides) under Paenibacillus sp. RNAcentral describes it as "bacterial SSU rRNA". It matches the Rfam family "Bacterial small subunit ribosomal RNA", at positions 79 to 737 of the family's 1533-position model. The record is from RNAcentral. Lineage: Bacteria; Bacillati; Bacillota; Bacilli; Caryophanales; Paenibacillaceae.